GGAGAGAUGCCGGAGCGGUCGAACGGGACGGUCUCGAAAACCGUUGUACUGGGUAACUGGUACCGAGGGUUCGAAUCCCCCUCUCUCCG
RNAcentral lists this transfer RNA (89 nucleotides) under Bacteroidales bacterium. Its description in RNAcentral is "tRNA-Ser". It matches the Rfam family "tRNA". From Rfam's summary of the family: Transfer RNA (tRNA) molecules are approximately 80 nucleotides in length. RNAcentral also lists the same sequence under 1 other name. Lineage: Bacteria; Pseudomonadati; Bacteroidota; Bacteroidia; Bacteroidales. The record is from RNAcentral.